UACAGAGGGUGCAAGCGUUGUUCGGAUUUACUGGGCGUAAAGCGCACGUAGGCGGUUUGUUAAGUGAGAGGUGAAAUCCCAGAGCUCAACUCUGGAACUGCCUUUCAUACUGGCAAGCUAGAGUCCGGAAGAGGUAAGUGGAACUCCUAGUGUAGAGGUGGAAUUCGUAGAUAUUAGGAAGAACACCAGUGGCGAAGGCGGCUUACUGGUCCGGAACUGACGCUGAGGUGCGAAAGCGUGGGGAGCAAACAGG
This 253-nucleotide ribosomal RNA is filed under the name uncultured bacterium. RNAcentral's name for it is "partial 16S ribosomal RNA". It matches the Rfam family "Bacterial small subunit ribosomal RNA", at positions 524 to 776 of the family's 1533-position model. The record is from RNAcentral.